Molecule: ribosomal RNA, 253 nt
Filed under: uncultured bacterium
Lineage: Bacteria
Description: partial 16S ribosomal RNA
Rfam family: Bacterial small subunit ribosomal RNA
Source: RNAcentral
UACGUAGGGUGCAAGCGUUAAUCGGAAUUACUGGGCGUAAAGCGUGCGCAGGCGGUUUUGUAAGUCUGUCGUGAAAGCCCCGGGCUCAACCUGGGAAUUGCGAUGGAGACUGCAAGGCUUGAAUCUGGCAGAGGGGGGUAGAAUUCCACGUGUAGCAGUGAAAUGCGUAGAGAUGUGGAGGAACACCGAUGGCGAAGGCAGCCCCCUGGGUCAAGAUUGACGCUCAUGCACGAAAGCGUGGGGAGCAUACAGG